UUACUUUAGCAGCAAAUAUACUAAAGUUGGAAUGGUACAGAGAAGAUUAGCAUGGCCCCUGUGCAAAGAUGACACAAAUUUGUGAAGCAUUCCAUAUUUUU
Molecule: small nuclear RNA, 101 nt
Organism: Ictidomys tridecemlineatus (thirteen-lined ground squirrel)
Lineage: Eukaryota; Metazoa; Chordata; Mammalia; Rodentia; Sciuridae
Source: Ensembl